AAAUUGAAGAGUUUGAUCAUGGCUCAGAUUGAACGCUGGCGGCAGGCCUAACACAUGCAAGUCGAACGGUAACAGGAAGCAGCUUGCUGCUUCGCUGACGAGUGGCGGACGGGUGAGUAAUGUCUGGGAAACUGCCUGAUGGAGGGGGAUAACUACUGGAAACGGUGGCUAAUACCGCAUAACGUCGCAAGACCAAAGAGGGGGACCUUCGGGCCUCUUGCCAUCAGAUGUGCCCAGAUGGGAUUAGCUUGUUGGUGAGGUAACGGCUCACCAAGGCGACGAUCCCUAGCUGGUCUGAGAGGAUGACCAGCCACACUGGAACUGAGACACGGUCCAGACUCCUACGGGAGGCAGCAGUGGGGAAUAUUGCACAAUGGGCGCAAGCCUGAUGCAGCCAUGCCGCGUGUAUGAAGAAGGCCUUCGGGUUGUAAAGUACUUUCAGCGGGGAGGAAGGUGUUGUGGUUAAUAACCACAGCAAUUGACGUUACCCGCAGAAGAAGCACCGGCUAACUCCGUGCCAGCAGCCGCGGUAAUACGGAGGGUGCAAGCGUUAAUCGGAAUUACUGGGCGUAAAGCGCACGCAGGCGGUCUGUCAAGUCGGAUGUGAAAUCCCCGGGCUCAACCUGGGAACUGCAUUCGAAACUGGCAGGCUUGAGUCUUGUAGAGGGGGGUAGAAUUCCAGGUGUAGCGGUGAAAUGCGUAGAGAUCUGGAGGAAUACCGGUGGCGAAGGCGGCCCCCUGGACAAAGACUGACGCUCAGGUGCGAAAGCGUGGGGAGCAAACAGGAUUAGAUACCCUGGUAGUCCACGCCGUAAACGAUGUCUACUUGGAGGUUGUGCCCUUGAGGCGUGGCUUCCGGAGCUAACGCGUUAAGUAGACCGCCUGGGGAGUACGGCCGCAAGGUUAAAACUCAAAUGAAUUGACGGGGGCCCGCACAAGCGGUGGAGCAUGUGGUUUAAUUCGAUGCAACGCGAAGAACCUUACCUGGUCUUGACAUCCACAGAACUUUCCAGAGAUGGAUUGGUGCCUUCGGGAACUGUGAGACAGGUGCUGCAUGGCUGUCGUCAGCUCGUGUUGUGAAAUGUUGGGUUAAGUCCCGCAACGAGCGCAACCCUUAUCCUUUGUUGCCAGCGGUUAGGCCGGGAACUCAAAGGAGACUGCCAGUGAUAAACUGGAGGAAGGUGGGGAUGACGUCAAGUCAUCAUGGCCCUUACGACCAGGGCUACACACGUGCUACAAUGGCGCAUACAAAGAGAAGCGACCUCGCGAGAGCAAGCGGACCUCAUAAAGUGCGUCGUAGUCCGGAUUGGAGUCUGCAACUCGACUCCAUGAAGUCGGAAUCGCUAGUAAUCGUGGAUCAGAAUGCCACGGUGAAUACGUUCCCGGGCCUUGUACACACCGCCCGUCACACCAUGGGAGUGGGUUGCAAAAGAAGUAGGUAGCUUAACCUUCGGGAGGGCGCUUACCACUUUGUGAUUCAUGACUGGGGUGAAGUCGUAACAAGGUAACCGUAGGGGAACCUGCGGUUGGAUCACCUCCUUACCUGAAAGAA
This 1552-nucleotide ribosomal RNA is filed under the name Salmonella enterica subsp. enterica. RNAcentral describes it as "bacterial SSU rRNA". It matches the Rfam family "Bacterial small subunit ribosomal RNA". Lineage: Bacteria; Pseudomonadati; Pseudomonadota; Gammaproteobacteria; Enterobacterales; Enterobacteriaceae. RNAcentral also lists the same sequence under 1 other name. The record is from RNAcentral.